Molecule: transfer RNA, 69 nt
Filed under: Ixodes cornuatus
Lineage: Eukaryota; Metazoa; Arthropoda; Arachnida; Ixodida; Ixodidae
Description: tRNA-Phe
Source: RNAcentral
UUUUCUCAAAAAAAGAUUUUUUACCUUUACAUUUUCAGUGUAAUAUUCUAUAUUAUAAACUAUGAGAAA